RNAcentral lists this ribosomal RNA (775 nucleotides) under uncultured bacterium. RNAcentral's name for it is "bacterial SSU rRNA". It matches the Rfam family "Bacterial small subunit ribosomal RNA", at positions 26 to 807 of the family's 1533-position model. The record is from RNAcentral.
GGGAGAUAACGCUGGCGGCGUGCUUACACCUGCAAGUCGAGCGAGAAGGAAGAUGUGGAACUCUUCGGAGGAAAUAUCUACUGGAAAGCGGCGGACGGGUGAGUAACGCGUGGGUAACCUGCCUUGUACAGAGGGAUAGCCACUGGAAACGGUGAUUAAAACCUCAUAAAACUAUAUUAUCGCAUGGUAAUAUAGUCAAAACUCAGGUGGUACAAGAUGGACCCGCGUCUGAUUAGCUAGUUGGUGAGGUAAAGGCUCACCAAGGCGACGAUCAGUAGCCGACCUGAGAGGGUGAACGGCCACACUGGAACUGAGAAACGGUCCAGACUCCUACGGGAGGCAGCAGUGGGGAAUAUUGCACAAUGGGCGAAAGCCUGAUGCAGCAACGCCGCGUGAGCGAAGAAGGCUUUCGGGUCGUAAAGCUCUGUCCUAUGGGAAGAAGAAGUGACGGUACCAUAGGAGGAAGCCCCGGCUAACUACGUGCCAGCAGACGCGGUAAUACGUAAGGGGCGAGCGUUAUCCGGAAUUACUGGGCGUAAAGGGUGAGUAAGCGGGCAAAUAAGCCAGAAGUGAAAGGCUAGGGCUUAACCCUAGUAAGCCUAUGGAACUGUAUGGCUUGAAGUGCAGGAGAGGAGAGUGGAAUUCCUAGUGUAACGGGUGAAAUGCGUAGAUAUCAGGAGGAACACCAGUGGAAAAGCAAUCCCUGGACUGCGCUGGAGCUGAAGACAAAAGCGUGGGAACAACAGGAUAGAAAACCGAGAAUCCACGCGUAAAC